GCCAUAGUGGCAUAGUGGUUUGAGUGAUGGACUAUGACUGGAGACCAGGGUUUGAUUCCCAGCUUGGUCA
Phrynosoma platyrhinos (Desert horned lizard) is the source of this 70-nucleotide non-coding RNA. The record is from the annotation of a GenBank genome assembly. Lineage: Eukaryota; Metazoa; Chordata; Lepidosauria; Squamata; Phrynosomatidae.